GCCGCGGUGCUGCGGGUCCGGGCGGCCGGGACGGAGGUGAUCCUCCUCCGGGCAGGCCAGCGGUGGCCCGGCCGGAUCCUUGGGGCCGUCCCCCGCUCCUCGCGGAGGAGCCUGGCCGGGCUGCAGGGUGCGGCUCGGGGCGGUGGUGUUUGCGGUCGUACCGGCUCGUCUUUGGCUCUUUAAAUUGUCCUUUACACUCAAAGGCUCCCUUUAGUUUCCCCCUAAAGUUAGAACACCGCAUGACGCUGAAAAUCAUUUCUGCCUUCUCAUGAUCUGUCUGGAGACUUCUGCCAGCUGAGGGCUGGAGGUUCCUCUGGAGCCAGCUUUGUAAUGGAAGCAGGCUUUCUCCCAGCAGGGGUGGAUGAAGGCAUAGAAAAGGCAGUGUGCGUUUGUGGUUUGAUUAUGUUGGGUUUUUUUUAACCAUCACUGUAUCUUAACUAAGGUGUUUUUCAUACUGACUGUAUAGUUGGGAGUGGAUUUGCAACCGAACAGCCUGUGUUCAAGUAAACAGAGAUGCUUGGUGAUUUGGUAUGUUAACCCUAACUAUAAGGCUUCAGAGAGGAGGUAGUGUCUCUUCCAGAGUAUUACAUCUUAUACAUUUUAAUAAUAAGAUUGGAACAGGUUUAUAAAAUGUGUUAAUAUCUCUUCCACAUAUUUUUCUAGGGUAUAACAGUUACCAAUGACAACGAAAGCAAACUUUCCUGUGGCAGCAGGGUCUAUAGUUGUCCCUUACGGGCAUGUGGUUGGAAAUGAGAAGUGGAGAGGGUCAGAGAUAGCCCAAAGGCUACAAGCUGCUGAGCACUGUAGGGAAGGAGCAAAAGUACCAGCUUCUUGGAAACCACAGUAGUGGGACCAUUGUGAAUGUGCAUCUCCACUGAAGUCCCUUGAAUUUACAUGGAUACUGGGACUGCGCUGUCAUCUCUUGGUGCAGCAAACUAAGGAAAAAUUAGACUCAUCUUUGAAGAUGACUUGGGACUCGUGGAUUUUCAUAUUUCAAACAGAAUUUGCAUUUUAUAUAUUUCUGAAGCAGAUUUGGUUGCAGGGGAUGAAUUCAAACGAAGAUUGGUUCGGUUUAGAAAUGCCAGUAGCCUUGGGGGAAUUGUAAUUGUAGAGAAAACCCAAAUAAGUGAUCAGUACUUCUUAGCAGUACAAAAGCUUGUUGUGCUAGAACUUGGAAUGGUGUUGCUUCCUGUAGCAAAUCAAAGAGAAGCUUCUCAACUUAUUACUCAGCUAGUCCGUGAACAAAGUAAGGAUCACAACAGUAACCCCUUUCUCCGUAAACAACGCUCUCAGCUGGCAGAGCCAGCGGUGUUUCGGACAGUGCAACAAAUUCCAGGAGUUGGGAAAACAAAAGCUCUGCUUUUACUGCAACAGUUUGGAAGCAUCCACCGGCUUUGCAACGCAUCUGUUGAAGAGCUUGAGCUAGUAGUUGGACAAACGGCAGCACAACAAAUCUACACUUUUUUAUGCUCCUGAUGUGCAUAUGUAGUGCUGUUUUGGAAAACACACUUUUUGUUUGUUUCUUGUGAAUUAUAAAAUCUUGUUUUCAAUAAUCGCAUAUUAUGGCAAUUUCUAUAAUCCUGGUAACAGUUGGAAGGUGUUGACUAAUUGUCUAAGUAUUCCACUGCUACCAUUUUACAGCUGUUCUGCCCAUGUGGAUUAAGCUGCGAAAAUUGCCUUGGGAAGAGGGCUAUAAAGUGUUUUGCAUCUGUCUCGUACAAAAAGAAGAGAGAAAGCAGUCUUUUUCAGUAUCCAUGGGAAAAAAAGGAGAAGCAAUUUGCUUGCCUGCUUUCAUCUUCCAGAAAUAAACACCUUGUUAAUACUGGGAGGUGUCAGCUUCACAGUAGUUGGAGAUGUGAGUUACACUGCUUUGAAAAGUUAGCAUCUCUUGCUUUAUAGUAAUAUAUUUUCUAACUUUUUGGAAUUCCUUUGGAAAGUCCUACAGGAAUAAAUCUUUGUCUUUACAUUAA
Molecule: RNA transcript, 1970 nt
Organism: Strigops habroptila (Kakapo)
Lineage: Eukaryota; Metazoa; Chordata; Aves; Psittaciformes; Psittacidae
Gene: FAAP24
Gene name: FA core complex associated protein 24
Exons: 5
Source: RefSeq, a predicted model, not a curated record